Molecule: ribosomal RNA, 460 nt
Filed under: uncultured bacterium
Lineage: Bacteria
Description: partial 16S ribosomal RNA
Rfam family: Bacterial small subunit ribosomal RNA
Source: RNAcentral
CCUACGGGUGGCAGCAGUGAGGAAUAUUGGACAAUGGGCGCGAGCCUGAAUCAGCCAAGUAGCGUGAAGGAUGACUGCUCUACGGGUUGUAAACUUCUUUUAUAUGGGAAUAAAAUGUUCCACGUGUGGGAUUUUGUACGUACCAUAUGAAUAAGGAUCGGCUAACUCCGUGCCAGCAGCCGCGGUAAUACGGAGGAUCCGAGCGUUAUCCGGAUUUAUUGGGGUUAAAGGGAGCGUAGGUGGAUUGGUAAGUCAGUUGUGAAAGUUUGCGGCUCAACCGUAAAAUUGCAGUUGAAACUGGCAGUCUUGAGUACAGGAGAGGUAGGCGGAAUUCGUGGUGUAGCGGUGAAAUGCGUAGAUAUCACGAAGAACUCCGAUGGCGAAGGCAGCUUACUGGACUGCAACUGACACUGAGGCUCGAAAGUGUGGGUAUCAAACAGGAUUAGAUACCCCAGUAGUC